Molecule: long non-coding RNA, 476 nt
Filed under: Callithrix jacchus (white-tufted-ear marmoset)
Lineage: Eukaryota; Metazoa; Chordata; Mammalia; Primates; Cebidae
Description: lncRNA (ENSCJAG00000084565.1)
Source: RNAcentral
ACUGUUUCAAUCUCCUUGGAGGGGUGGCAGGGAACUUCCCCAAAAGUGACUGACAGACGGGCUGCUUGGAGCUCUGAGGGCCUCAAGGAGAGCGGAGGAGGGGCUGCCUUCAGCUGGGAAGGUGAGAGAAGAGCCUGAAGCAGAGGGGGGUCUCCACUACAGACUUUCCAGCUGCUGCUUGGGAACAACUGAUAAGCCAGGAAGGCAGCUGGAGCAUAGGCUGAGAAGCAAAGAGCAGGCUGUGCAAAGCCGAGACCUCCAACCUUCCUCUCGGUUUCUCACAUCUUAGCCCCGUGACUGUCUGAGUCCUCCGCCUCAAAAGAACACACAGAAGAAACAAGGUAAGAUGUGUCUUUCUUCCUAAUGCUGAGGAAGAACCAAGUGUAUAAUUCCUGAUAAUUGCAUUGUACUCUUUUUCCCGAGGGAUCUUUGAGAAGCGGGGAGGGGGCACUCUCUGCUACCAUGUAUUUGUGCAC